GACGAACGCUGGCGGCGUGCUUAACACAUGCAAGUCGAACGGAAAGGCCCUGCUUUUGUGGGGUGCUCGAGUGGCGAACGGGUGAGUAACACGUGAGUAACCUGCCCUUGACUUUGGGAUAACUUCAGGAAACUGGGGCUAAUACCGGAUAGGAGCUCCUGCUGCAUGGGGGGGGUUGGAAAGUUUCGGCGGUUGGGGAUGGACUCGCGGCUUAUCAGCUUGUUGGUGGGGUAGUGGCUUACCAAGGCUUUGACGGGUAGCCGGCCUGAGAGGGUGGACGGCGUCAAUGGGCCUGCGGGACGGCCCAGACUCCUACGGGAGGCAGCAGUGGGGAGUAUUGCCCAAUGGGCCGAAGCCUGAUGCAGCAACGCCGCGUGCGGGAUGACGGCCUUCGGGUUGUGAACCGCUUUCGCCUGUGACGAAGCGUGAGUGACGGUAAUGGGUAAAGAAGCACCGGCUAACUACGUG
RNAcentral lists this ribosomal RNA (468 nucleotides) under uncultured bacterium. Its description in RNAcentral is "partial 16S ribosomal RNA". It matches the Rfam family "Bacterial small subunit ribosomal RNA", at positions 28 to 507 of the family's 1533-position model. The record is from RNAcentral.